Molecule: ribosomal RNA, 442 nt
Filed under: uncultured bacterium
Lineage: Bacteria
Description: partial 16S ribosomal RNA
Rfam family: Bacterial small subunit ribosomal RNA
Source: RNAcentral
CCUACGGGAGGCAGCAGUGGGGGAUAUUGCACAAUGGGGGAAACCCUGAUGCAGCGACGCCGCGUGGGCGAAGAAGUAUUUCGGUAUGUAAAGCUCUAUCAGCAGGGAAGAAGAAAUGACGGUACCUGAGUAAGAAGCACCGGCUAAAUACGUGCCAGCAGCCGCGGUCAUACGUAUGGCGCAAGCGUUAUCCGGAUUUACUGGGUGUAAAGGGAGCGCAGGCGGCACGGCAAGCCUGAUGUGAAAGCCCGCGGCCCAACCGCGGGACUGCAUUGGGAACUACCGGACUGGAGUGCCGGAGAGGUAGGCGGAAUUCCUAGUGUAGCGGUGAAAUGCGUAGAUAUUAUGAGGAACACCAGUGGCGAAGGCAGCCUACUGGACGGUGACUGACGCUGAGGCUCGAAAGCGUGGGGAGCAAACAGGAUUAGAUACCCCAGUAGUC